AUGGCUCACAGACCAACCCCUCAGGACUGCAGUGGGAGGAAUGCAAUGGAGCCCAUUCUUCUUUUCUGGUUCAUGUACUCUAAUCAAAGACACCACUCAAUAGUGCACAGUGUGUGGAGAAGGAGAUGGAAGAUGCAAGGAGUAUGAAUGUGGGCACUUUUUAAAAAAUUUCACCCAAGAGAAAUAUACAGUCAUUUGUCAGACCAGUGAUUUUACACUGUCA
Homo sapiens (human) is the source of this 223-nucleotide long non-coding RNA. Ensembl annotates it as long intergenic non-protein coding RNA 903. The record is from Ensembl. Lineage: Eukaryota; Metazoa; Chordata; Mammalia; Primates; Hominidae.